Molecule: ribosomal RNA, 229 nt
Filed under: uncultured Staphylococcus sp.
Lineage: Bacteria; Bacillati; Bacillota; Bacilli; Caryophanales; Staphylococcaceae
Description: partial 16S ribosomal RNA
Rfam family: Bacterial small subunit ribosomal RNA
Source: RNAcentral
UAACACGUGGAUAACCUACCUAUAAGACUGGGAUAACUUCGGGAAGCCGGAGCUAAUACCGGAUAAUAUUUUGAACCGCAUGGUUCAAAAGUGAAAGACGGUCUUGCUGUCACUUAUAGAUGGAUCUGCGCUGCAUUAGCUAGUUGGUAAGGUAACGGCUUACCAAGGCAACGAUGCAUAGCCGACCUGAGAGGGUGAUCGGCCACACUGGAACUGAGACACGGUCCAG